Molecule: transfer RNA, 111 nt
Filed under: Fonsecaea erecta
Lineage: Eukaryota; Fungi; Ascomycota; Eurotiomycetes; Chaetothyriales; Herpotrichiellaceae
Rfam family: tRNA
About the family: Transfer RNA (tRNA) molecules are approximately 80 nucleotides in length. Their secondary structure includes four short double-helical elements and three loops (D, anti-codon, and T loops).
Source: Rfam by way of RNAcentral
GACAGUUUGGCCGAGUGGUUAAGGCGGCAGACUCGAAUUGACCUGCAUCUUCGUAGGUUAGCCCGUCAUCUGCUGGGUUCGCCCGCACAGGUUCAAAUCCUGUAGCUGUCG